Molecule: long non-coding RNA, 1047 nt
Organism: Mauremys reevesii (Reeves's turtle)
Lineage: Eukaryota; Metazoa; Chordata; Testudines; Geoemydidae
Exons: 3
Source: RefSeq, a predicted model, not a curated record
UUUCUCUCUUUUUUCUAUUAUAUUCAUAAACAACAAAUUCACAGGCAUAAGAGUCUACAACUUUGGAGUACUUAGGGAGUCAACAAUAGAUCUAAAAAUGGAAUGACUGACAAUUAUUAGAAAAGAGUAGAGAACAAUUCUCUCUGGAAGUCAUCACCUGAACUUGCUUGUGCUGGUACAAUAAAAAGAAGAGCAGUGCAACGGCAGCCACUUCUUCAUUCUUUUGUGACAAUAUUUGUCCUGUUGAAGGAUUGCGAGACUGAAGGAUAUCCCUUCCUACCUGGAGAACUAACCACUCCUCUCAUGCUUAACCUGCCAUCCUACAGCUGAAGUGAACUUUGCUUGGGAAGGAUAUAGGUGAAGCAAGUUGCUACAGCAACUAUACCAAACUGUUGCUGCAUUGAUGGAAUAUUCUUUGGUGUUCCUGAAAGCAUUUGUGUAGAUAAAGGCAUUGCUGUAACUAAAAAAGAGCUGAAAACAUAAAUAUUUGCUCUCAGAGGAAUCACAAAGAUACUUCAAGAAGGCAAAUCAAUGUCUGCAAGCUGGAUUGAAACAUGUCUCCCCUUCCCAAAUUACAAAAGUGUGACUGCCUGUCUCUACUGCCUAUGUAUGAAACUAGCAAAACUGCAGUGAUGUGUGUGAACCUACAACCAUGACCCUAAAACAGAAUUGGAACAGAACUUCAUGACAGCAGUGGAGAAGGCUGAAAUGAGAACACUGGGUUUGGAGUCUGCUUGCAUAACUUGAACUUGACCAUCUAUUCAAGGAGUAUGAACAUUAUUUUAUCUAUUGUGUUGGCCAACUGGCAGCAACAGACUAGAGCAGAUUUGAGUAACUAAUCAGCAGACUCCACAUUCUGAGAUGGAAUCACUAUGUAUGUGUCAUUGCAAACUACACAGUUUAAACUUGAACUGUGAUAUUUGUGGUUCAGAUUUAACUAAUUAGCAGAGUCCACAACUGGUGACUACUCACUAUGAAGUGCAUCAGUAGAACACUUCUGCUCCAUGGGUAGCUAUUCUAUCAAGUCACUCAAACUAAAAACUAUGG